GACGAACGCUGGCGGCGUGCUUAACACAUGCAAGUCGAGCGGAAAGGCCCUUCGGGGUACUCGAGCGGCGAACGGGUGAGUAACACGUGAGUAACCUGCCCCAGACUUUGGGAUAACCCUCGGAAACGGGGGCUAAUACCGGAUACGACACAGCUUCGCAUGGGGUCUGUGUGGAAAGUUUUUCGGUUUGGGAUGGGCUCGCGGCCUAUCAGCUUGUUGGUGGGGUGAUGGCCUACCAAGGCGACGACGGGUAGCCGGCCUGAGAGGGCGACCGGCCACACUGGGACUGAGACACGGCCCAGACUCCUACGGGAAGCAGCAGUGGGGAAUAUUGCACAAUGGGCGGAAGCCUGAUGCAGCGACGCCGCGUGAGGGAUGACGGCCUUCGGGUUGUAAACCUCUUUCAGCAGGGACGAAGCGUAAGUGACGGUACCUGCAGAAGAAGCGCCGGCCAACUACGUG
This 462-nucleotide ribosomal RNA is filed under the name uncultured bacterium. Its description in RNAcentral is "partial 16S ribosomal RNA". It matches the Rfam family "Bacterial small subunit ribosomal RNA", at positions 28 to 507 of the family's 1533-position model. The record is from RNAcentral.